GCUGGCUGGUGAGUUUACAAGGCAAGGUCAUGUUCACAAACAACGUGUCACUCGUCAAUACACGGCGUAUCAGCAUCACCGGGCCCAAAACAGGAUUCGUUUCAAGGUAGUCAGAGCAAGGCAGACAAACACGGAGCGAUGCCCAGGCUCUCUCAAGAGCAGAGCCAGCGAUAGCGGUUUAUUUAAAGAUAUCUUUGCUCUGCGGGGCCCUACGCGCCACCAGACGUCCCAAACAGGGAGCCGCAGGGGCAGCUGGCCCUUCGCGGGACGUGCUGCGGCCUUCGCCGCGCCAGUUGUUUACGCACUUUACUAUUUCUGCAGCUUCCGUGGCCGGAGCGCGCGAGCUGUUGAUUCGCAAAUGGGAGAGCCCGCCUAACCUCACUCACCAAUAUCCUGUCUCUCCGGCGCUGCAGGUUCCACAGAGCACGGAGAGGCAGAAGCAUUAAAGGUACACAAACACUCAUUUCCUCCGCCGCCCGGGAGAUCAUAUCGACGGCGCCUUUGUUUUAAUGCCAGAAAUAUGAAAUGUUGACAUGACUAAGCACACCGCUGCUGGGCAAUAACCCUCUGCCCUCCGACCUCCGAUCUCCUCGCCCUCCUGUUCGCCGCCUGUCCCCGACACCGAGAACUUGCCUGAUCCCCUGAAUCCAGACGAAUGACUCCGCACUUGGGUCCUGUCAUCCCGGUUCUCUCUCGGCCUCGUAUGACAUGCUCUGUUGGCACCAAUGAUCGCAGCACCCGUCCAUUCGACGUUCGUGGUCUUGAGGCCUUCUCGGAAGGUGGAACACCACGUUUCCGGCGGUCGACCCUGUCUGCGCUUCCCCUUCGGCGGCGCCCAUCGCAUCGCCACCGUUGGAAAUCAAACACAAACUCCAAAACUGCCACGUGAGACUCGCCAACUGCAUCUGGGACGAGCAGUUUCAUGGCCUGGAGGGGCCACGUGGGCCAGAGCAUGGGCGCUGCUGCCGGGUCUGGCUUUGAGGAUGACCCAGGGUCUUCGGUCUCCUGUCCACCCAAGCAGGAAGGGUGUGCUCCUGCUGUCCGCUGCAGGUCUGCUUUCCCCCCCUGCGGUGUGGAGAGCAGAGGAUGCAUGUGAUGAGGAAAAGCAGGAUUUUCCUCCUUUGGGAGCAGGGAAGCCCUGCUAAUCACACAUUUCCUUCCCACAAACUUCUGCUGAGUCACCCAAGCGGACAUUCAGAAAGAGGAAAAACCGAACAUCUCUUUCUGACUGCUGUUACCCCAAAGAAAUACCAUUUUUACACAGUCUCCGG
This 1271-nucleotide long non-coding RNA is filed under the name Scleropages formosus (Asian bonytongue). Its description in RNAcentral is "lncRNA (ENSSFOG00015026398.1)". Lineage: Eukaryota; Metazoa; Chordata; Actinopteri; Osteoglossiformes; Osteoglossidae. The record is from RNAcentral.